CCUACGGGACGCAGCAGUGGGGAAUAUUGGUCAAUGGGCUUACGCCUGAACCAGCCAAGUCGCGUGAGUGAAGACUGCCCUAUGGGUUGUAAACCUCUUUUGUCAGGGAGCAACGCCGGCUACUUGUAGCCGGACUGAGAGUACCUGAAGAAAAAGCAUCGGCUGACUCCGUGCCAGCAGCCGCGGUAAUACGGAGGAUGCGCGCGUUAUCCGGAUUUAUUGGGUUUAAAGGGUUCGUAUGCGGAAUGCCAAGUCAGCGGUAAAAUCGC
This 269-nucleotide ribosomal RNA is filed under the name uncultured bacterium. RNAcentral's name for it is "partial 16S ribosomal RNA". It matches the Rfam family "Bacterial small subunit ribosomal RNA", at positions 338 to 603 of the family's 1533-position model. The record is from RNAcentral.